GGAGCAUGUCUAAUAUUUAUGGU
This 23-nucleotide non-coding RNA is filed under the name Arabidopsis thaliana (thale cress). The record is from RNAcentral. Lineage: Eukaryota; Viridiplantae; Streptophyta; Magnoliopsida; Brassicales; Brassicaceae.